Molecule: unclassified non-coding RNA, 213 nt
Filed under: Hevea brasiliensis (rubber tree)
Lineage: Eukaryota; Viridiplantae; Streptophyta; Magnoliopsida; Malpighiales; Euphorbiaceae
Source: RNAcentral
ACAAACCUCUCUGAACCAUCUCACAUACAGAAAAAGGUCCAGCCCUUUAUUUGUUGAGUUCUUCUUGUUCUUGUUCUUGUUCUUCCUGUUAAUGCUAUUGCUGUUAUCCUCAUCGCUUAGCUGCAUCAACUGUUGAGCCGCAACCAUUUCCGAAUCCGUUAAGACUUUUUGGGUUCUAUACAAGGCUUGUAACUUCGCCAUGAUCAUCAAGAA